This 525-nucleotide ribosomal RNA is filed under the name uncultured bacterium. Its description in RNAcentral is "bacterial SSU rRNA". It matches the Rfam family "Bacterial small subunit ribosomal RNA", at positions 1 to 523 of the family's 1533-position model. The record is from RNAcentral.
UGGAGAGUUUGAUCCUGGCUCAGAUUGAACGCUGGCGGCAUGCUUUACACAUGCAAGUCGAACGGCAGCACGGGCUUCGGCCUGGUGGCGAGUGGCGAACGGGUGAGUAAUGCAUCGGAACGUGCCCAUUUGUGGGGGAUAACUACGCGAAAGCGUGGCUAAUACCGCAUACGCCCUGAGGGGGAAAGCGGGGGAUUCUUCGGAACCUCGCGCAAUUGGAGCGGCCGAUGUCAGAUUAGCUUGUUGGUGAGGUAAAGGCUCACCAAGGCGACGAUCUGUAGCGGGUCUGAGAGGAUGAUCCGCCACACUGGGACUGAGACACGGCCCAGACUCCUACGGGAGGCAGCAGUGGGGAAUUUUGGACAAUGGGGGCAACCCUGAUCCAGCCAUGCCGCGUGAGUGAAGAAGGCCUUCGGGUUGUAAAGCACUUUUGUUCGGGAAGAAAUCAUGCUGGUUAAUACCUGGUAUGGAUGACGGUACCGAAAGAAUAAGCACCGGCUAACUUCGUGCCAGCAGCCGCGGUAA